UUGACCUCGGAUCAGGUAGGGAUACCCGCUGAACUUAAGCAUAUCAAUAAGCGGAGGAAAAGAAACCAACAGGGAUUGCUCUAGUAACGGCGAGUGAAGCAGCAAUAGCUCAAAUUUGAAAUCUGGCGUCUUCGGCGUCCGAGUUGUAAUUUGUAGAGGAUGCUUCUGGGCAGCCACCGACCUAAGUUCCUUGGAACAGGACGUCAUAGAGGGUGAGAAUCCCGUAUGCGGUCGGAAAGGCACCCUACACGUAGCUCCUUCGACGAGUCGAGUUGUUUGGGAAUGCAGCUCUAAAUGGGAGGUAAAUUUCUUCUAAAGCUAAAUAUUGGCCAGAGACCGAUAGCGCACAAGUAGAGUGAUCGAAAGAUGAAAAGCACUUUGGAAAGAGAGUUAAAAAGCACGUGAAAUUGUUGAAAGGGAAGGGAUUGCAACCAGACUUGCUCGCGGUGUUCCGCCGGUCUUCUGACCGGUUCACUCGCCGCGUUGCAGGCCAGCAUCGUCUGGUGCCGCUGGAUAAGACUGGAGGAAUGUAGCUCCCUCGGGAGUGUUAUAGCCUCCAGUGAUGCAGCGAGCGCCGGGCGAGGUCCGCGCUUCGGCUAGGAUGCUGGCGUAAUGGUUGUAAUCCGCCCGUCUUGAAACACGGACCAAGGAGUCUAACAUCUAUGCGAGUGUUCGGGUGUCAAACCCCUACGCGUAAUGAAAGUGAACGGAGGUGAGAACCGCAAGGUGCAUCAUCGACCGAUCCUGAUGUCUUCGGAUGGAUUUGAGUAUGAGCAUAGCUGUUGGGACCCGAAAGAUGGUGAACUAUGCCUGAAUAGGGUGAAGCCAGAGGAAACUCUGGUGGAGGCUCGCAGCGGUUCUGACGUGCAAAUCGAUCGUCAAAUUUGGGUAUA
Molecule: ribosomal RNA, 893 nt
Filed under: Cladosporium sp. CBS 300.96
Lineage: Eukaryota; Fungi; Ascomycota; Dothideomycetes; Cladosporiales; Cladosporiaceae
Description: eukaryotic LSU rRNA
Rfam family: Eukaryotic large subunit ribosomal RNA
Source: RNAcentral